RNAcentral lists this ribosomal RNA (602 nucleotides) under uncultured fungus. RNAcentral's name for it is "eukaryotic LSU rRNA". The stretch from base 227 to 380 matches the Rfam family "5.8S ribosomal RNA". Lineage: Eukaryota; Fungi. The record is from RNAcentral.
AAGUCGUAACAAGGUCUCCGUUGGUGAACCAGCGGAGGGAUCAUUAUCGAGUUUAUCCAACUCCCAACCCUAUGUGAACCUACCUUUAUGUUGCUUCGGCGGUGCUGCGCCAGGCUGCUCCCCAGGGAGCUCCUGGGACCACGCGCCCGCCGGAGACCACAAACUCUUGAUUUUGCGAAAGCAGUAUUAUUCUGAGUGGCCGAAAGGCAAAAAACAAAUGAAUCAAAACUUUCAACAACGGAUCUCUUGGUUCUGGCAUCGAUGAAGAACGCAGCGAAAUGCGAUAAGUAAUGUGAAUUGCAGAAUUCAGUGAAUCAUCGAAUCUUUGAACGCACAUUGCGCCCGCCAGCAUUCUGGCGGGCAUGCCUGUUCGAGCGUCAUUUCAACCCUCGAGCUCGUCUUCAUUGACGAGAUCGGUGUUGGGACCCGGCGAGCGAGGACUUCUGUCCUCUGCCGGCCCCGAAAUUCAGUGGCGGCCCGUUGCGGCGACCUCUGCGUAGUAACUUAACCUCGCACUGGGACAGCAUCGUGGCCACGCCGUAAAACCCCCGACUUUUUUUAAGGUUGACCUCGAAUCAGGUAGGACUACCCGCUGAACUUAA